CAGCAGCCACGGGAAUACGUAGGGUGCAAGCGUUAAUCGGAAUUACUGGGCGUAAAGCGUGCGCAGGCGGUUCGCUAAGACAGAUGUGAAAUCCCCGGGCUUAACCUGGGAACUGCAUUUGUGACUGGCGGGCUAGAGUAUGGCAGAGGGGGGUAGAAUUCCACGUGUAGCAGUGAAAUGCGUAGAGAUGUGGAGGAAUACCGAUGGCGAAGGCAGCCCCCUGGGCCAAUACUGACGCUCAUGCACGAAAGCGUGGGGAGCAAACAGGAUUAGAUACCCCUGUAGUCCCUGUCUCUUAUAA
Molecule: ribosomal RNA, 301 nt
Filed under: uncultured bacterium
Lineage: Bacteria
Description: partial 16S ribosomal RNA
Rfam family: Bacterial small subunit ribosomal RNA
Source: RNAcentral